This 75-nucleotide transfer RNA is filed under the name Deltaproteobacteria bacterium. RNAcentral describes it as "tRNA-Val". It matches the Rfam family "tRNA". From Rfam's summary of the family: Transfer RNA (tRNA) molecules are approximately 80 nucleotides in length. Their secondary structure includes four short double-helical elements and three loops (D, anti-codon, and T loops). The record is from RNAcentral. Lineage: Bacteria; Pseudomonadati; Myxococcota; Myxococcia.
GGGCGGUUAACUCAGCGGUAGAGUGCCAUCCUCACACGGUGGAAGUCACUGGUUCAAGCCCAGUACCGCCUACCA